Ceratotherium simum simum (southern white rhinoceros) is the source of this 96-nucleotide non-coding RNA. The record is from RefSeq and is a predicted model, not a curated record. NCBI's taxonomy places the organism in Eukaryota, Metazoa, Chordata, Mammalia, Perissodactyla, Rhinocerotidae.
CAGAGCACACAAUUUAAAUCUUAUGAAUGGUUUAUUUCUAGGAUUUUCCAUGUAAUAUUUUUGGACUGCGAUUGGCCAUGGAUAACUGACACUACU